GAUGAACGCUGGCGGCGUGCCUAAUACAUGCGAGUCGAGCGAACAGAUGAGAAGCUUGCUCCUCUGACGUUAGCGGCGGACGGGUGAGUAACACGUGGAUAACCUACCUAUAAGACUGGGAUAACUUCGGGAAACCGGAGCUAAUACCGGAUAAUAUAUUGAACCGCAUGGUUCAAUAGUGAAAGACGGUUUUGCUGUCACUUAUAGAUGGAUCCGCGCCGCAUUAGCUAGUUGGUAAGGUAACGGCUUACCAAGGCAACGAUGCGUAGCCGACCUGAGAGGGUGAUCGGCCACACUGGAACUGAGACACGGUCCAGACUCCUACGGGAGGCAGCAGUAGGGAAUCUUCCGCAAUGGGCGAAAGCCUGACGGAGCAACGCCGCGUGAGUGAUGAAGGUCUUCGGAUCGUAAAACUCUGUUAUUAGGGAAGAACAAAUGUGUAAGUAACUAUGCACGUCUUGACGGUACCUAAUCAGAAAGCCACGGCUAACUACGUG
RNAcentral lists this ribosomal RNA (497 nucleotides) under uncultured bacterium. RNAcentral describes it as "partial 16S ribosomal RNA". It matches the Rfam family "Bacterial small subunit ribosomal RNA", at positions 28 to 507 of the family's 1533-position model. The record is from RNAcentral.